RNAcentral lists this long non-coding RNA (1356 nucleotides) under Mytilus galloprovincialis (Mediterranean mussel). The record is from RNAcentral. Lineage: Eukaryota; Metazoa; Mollusca; Bivalvia; Mytilida; Mytilidae.
GGGACAUGUAGUUGGAACCCGCCUUUGUCCUGGGUUAGGACCCCUUCCUUUUUAAAAUGGCUGGAUCCGCCCCUGCUAGCCAAGGGUUACGAUCCAGAGGAGGGAAGUGGACCGUAACCAUUGGCUAGCUAAGAUGGAUGUUCACUGGCUGCCUAACAUGGGGCUGCUCCAGUCAUGCUUCGGUGAUUCCCUCUAUAAUGAACCAAAUGUUUGCCACAAAAAGGGGGGGUGGGCUCUCCCUCUAUACCGCCUCUGAGAGCACGCGAAUUAAUAUGGAUCAGAAUUUAAAUCAUAUUGGAAUGGGAAAUACGUGUUUUUGUUGAUUGUCACAUACAUGUAAGCAUUUGCGUAACAAUCUUAAUGAGCUUUGCUCAUUGUUGAAGGCCAUACGGUGACCUAUAGUUGUUAAUUCCUACAUGCCAGUUUGGUCAUUUGUGGAUAAUUGUCUCAUUGGCAAUUAUACUACAUCUUCUUUUUAUAUUUAAUGCUGUAGCCAAUGGAAAAUGAUUUUAUGUUUCAUGCAGCACCUAGCUAAAUAUACUGACCCUUCUGUGUCCAUCCUUGUGUUUUUGUGUUACUUUAAUUAAACUGUAGUGUUUUUUGGAAUGUUGUUUGUCUGGCGUUUUUUUCGUCAUCUUUAUGAAAUUGUUUUUUUCUUUUCGAUUUGUUGCAUUUGCUUGCUGCCUUGAUAUCUUCGUUUUAUUCUUUAUAAAAUAUUGUUAGUAAAAUUAUCUUCUUUAUAUUGUAUACUUAACAUAAAUCUAAAUUUAAUUUCAUUCUAUGUUGUUUAUUUUUAGCUAUAGUAUGAAUACCUUUGUCGUUAUUUACGUUUUUGCAGUGAAGGUUUCAUUUGUUGAAUUACAUGAAUUUUAAAGGGUCGAAGUCCUGAAGAUGAAAAAAGUAUUGGAUCUCUGUUAAGUCAUCUGGCUUUAUAAACGAUUUAAUAAAUUAACUAAUGUCAUCAACCUAGCAAUUACUGUGUAUGUAUAUUCAUAAUAGUGACUAAAUGGACAAUUUACUCCCACAUCUACGUAAAUAAACAAACUAUGGUCCGAAUAGUUUAGGGUCGAAAAAUCUACAAAGAAUUAUCGAAAUCCACUUACACAUAAUAGAUCAUAAUAAGUGUCAGCAAUUAGUUGUUCCUUCCGUUUAUUUUGCGUCGUAUUAUGUAUGUAUUAUUUAUGGUAAAUUGUGUUGUAAGACAAAUCAAAAUCGUUUAAUUUAUGGUUUCACGAAAAAUAUUAGUGGACACUUCCGUAGAUCGAACUAAUGAUCCAUCUGACAAGAAAAUACAUUGAUGUUAAGGAUGGUUGUGUUUUUGCAAGCGAUAUAACUGCAUGCGAAGCUAUUUUAAAG